This 496-nucleotide ribosomal RNA is filed under the name uncultured bacterium. RNAcentral's name for it is "partial 16S ribosomal RNA". It matches the Rfam family "Bacterial small subunit ribosomal RNA", at positions 28 to 507 of the family's 1533-position model. The record is from RNAcentral.
GAUGAACGCUGGCGGCGUGCCUAUCCAUGCAAGUCGCGCGAACAGACGAGGAGCUUGCUCCUCUGACGUUAGCGGCGGACGGGUGAGUAACACGUGGAUAACCUACCUAUAAGACUGGGAUAACUUCGGGAAACCGGAGCUAAUACCGGAUAAUAUAUUGAACCGCAUGGUUCAAUAGUGAAAGACGGUUUUGCUGUCACUUAUAGAUGGAUCCGCGCCGCAUUAGCUAGUUGGUAAGGUAACGGCUUACUAAGGCAACGAUGCGUAGCCGACCUGAGAGGGUGGUCGGCCACACUGGAACUGAGACACGGUCCAGACUCCUACGGGAGGCAGCAGUAGGGAAUCUUCCGCAAUGGGCGAAAGCCUGACGGAGCAACGCCGCGUGAGUGAUGAAGGUCUUCGGAUCGUAAAACUCUGUUAUUAGGGAAGAACAAAUGUGUAAGUAACUAUGCACGUCUUGACGGUACCUAAUCAGAAAGCCACGGCUAACUACGUG